Molecule: long non-coding RNA, 1353 nt
Organism: Bos indicus x Bos taurus (hybrid cattle)
Lineage: Eukaryota; Metazoa; Chordata; Mammalia; Artiodactyla; Bovidae
Source: Ensembl
UUUCACUUUUGGACUUCUAAGGAGUUGAGGGCUAAAAUGUACAUCCAAACCAUUAAACCAGGCCCCCGAAAGAUAACAGGUUUUGGGUCUCUCUCCCAAACCCAGAAGUAUUAUCUCAUUUCCACCCCCACAGACCUGUAAGAAGGAGGUGCAUGCGUGCUAAGUCGCUACAGUCGUGUCCGACUCUGUGACCCCAUGGACUGUCGCCCACCAGGCUCCUCUGUCCAUGUGAUUCUCCAGGCAAGAAUACUGCAGUGGGUUGCCAUGCCCCCCUCCAGGGGAUCUUCCCGACCCAGGGAUCGAACCCGUGUCCCCGGCAUCUCCUGCUUUGGGAGGUGGGUUCUUUACCACUAGUGCCUCCUGGGAAGCCCCAAGAAGGAGAUACUUUAGUUCUUGAAUACUUUCUGACUUGUAUCUUUUCUCUCUUCCACACACGCAAUAAAUUCUGCCUGAAAGCUAAUGUACCACCAGGCUCCCUUGAGGAGCAUUUGCCAAAAGCUGCUUCCCACAGACCUCCCCGGCCUGCCUGGAGGCUUUCUUGGUCAAUACCUGGCAAGGCUGCGGCCCUGCUGGGCCAAAGGCUCUGUCAUCCCUUCCCCUUCCAAACAUCCAGUGGACCGCGAUGCUAGCUUUCCAGAGUCAUCAGCAAGACAUCCUGGCAGGAGAUCUGGCUUUCCCGAGAAGUGGCAAUGAUGUCAUGUUGGAGGGGCCGCCUUACAGUGGGCUGUGCAGCCCCUGGCCUCUGGCUGAACUGCCUUGUCCUCUGCAAAGACCAUGUUCUCACAAGCAACAGAGGUGAAGGAAGCAGUCAGGAACCUAAAAACCUGUCCUUUCCCUUCAUAGCCCCACCCCUACCCCACUCCGUAGAUGCUGUUGGGAUGGAAGUUGGUAUAUUCAAGAAUUGUUAUAUUAAAAAUGUUUGAUAGGUCAAAACUAAAACACUUUAGCAGGAAAAAGAGAUGCAACUCAGGGACCCACUUGGGGAAAAGAUCAUUUUCCUCUUUCAGGAUUCAUCUUAAACCGAAACCAUGAAUGGGUGCUGCCUACAAUACGCAGAAAUAGCAGAGCUGGGGUGUCAGUAGGUGAAGUUAAGAGUGACUCCCGUCCCCGUACUCCGAGUGAGCCACGGGGAGAAUCUUGACUUCCCGUCCCCACCACCCUAGGCUUUGUGGGUCUCAAGGUCUGGGCUCCCAGCAGGGGGAUGGUUCCACCAGGAUACACAAGAAUCCCACUAAACUUUCAGCUCUAGUCGCUACCUGAUUGCUUCAGGUUCCUUGUGCCAAGAGAGCAGCAAGCAGGAAGAGAAGUCAACCUCCAGGCAGAUGAAUAAACUAUGACAUCAAGAGGAGACCA